AUGAAGAGCUUUAAAAAAUUUAUAAUAUGCUUAUUUAAUUAUUCCUACAAAAAGGUGAAGUAUAUUAUAGGAAAAACUUUUUGUACCAUGUUUUUGUUCAUGUAUUGAGGCAAUGUUCCUUUAAUAGGUUGCUUUUGAAUCUAUGUUUGGUCGUAUUAUGUGAGGCGUAGUUAACUUCAUUAGUAACUAACAUAACAUAUGUCCUACUUGAUCAUAAAUAUUUAAUUGUGCUUUAUAUUCGUACAUAAUUUUACGAUGGUAGAAUUGUUAUCACAUUUUCCCUUACGAAAGGAUAAAUAAAAAUAAUAAUCCAAUUAUUUACAAGGAAAAAAGUAAUCUAAAGUUUGUCAAAUUGCAUUCAAUUUUAUUGAUUAUUAUUUUGAUCACAUGAAGUCCUUUAAUGUGCGCUAAAUGAAAAAUAAUAACACAUUGAUAUAUUUAAGAGAUAUUUACUAAUAAUUCUAAAAUUAUGAAGAGCAUUUAAAAAUUUAUAAUGCUUAAACUAUUUAAUUAUUUCUACAACAAGGUGGAGUAUGUUUGUGAUUGUUAAAAAACUUAUUUAUUGUUCAUUUGGCCAUUCAUAAGAUUAUAGGAAAAACUUUUUAUAACAUGUUUUUGUUCAUGUGUUGAGGCAAUGUUCCUUCAAAAUGUUGCUUUUUAAUCUAUGCUUGGUCGUAUUAUGUAAGGCGUAGUUAACUUCAUUAGUAAUUAAGAUAACAUACGUCCUACUUGUUCAUAAAUAUUUAAUUGUGCUUUCUAUUCGU
This 764-nucleotide long non-coding RNA is filed under the name Medicago truncatula (barrel medic). Its description in RNAcentral is "lncRNA gene21360". Lineage: Eukaryota; Viridiplantae; Streptophyta; Magnoliopsida; Fabales; Fabaceae. The record is from RNAcentral.